RNAcentral lists this microRNA (21 nucleotides) under Hyalella azteca. Its description in RNAcentral is "miR-297b". Lineage: Eukaryota; Metazoa; Arthropoda; Malacostraca; Amphipoda; Hyalellidae. The record is from RNAcentral.
UAUACAUACACACAUACACAU